Bos taurus (domestic cattle) is the source of this 2712-nucleotide long non-coding RNA. The record is from Ensembl. Lineage: Eukaryota; Metazoa; Chordata; Mammalia; Artiodactyla; Bovidae.
GGACACAGUAUUCCCAAAGAAGUACUUUCCAAAAACACAAGAAUACUUUUUUUUUUUUUUAAUGCAACCCAGAUGGCAAUACCAAAUAAUAAUUAUGACGAUUUUUUAAAAAAGAUCCUAGGCCUGACUUUAGAUUAUGAAUUGGCUUGUUAUCAGGAAAAAAUACUUAUUGAAACACAGCCAUGAUCAAUGGCUCCACGAACAUAACCAGCACAAACAUUCAGGGCUUCUCAUGGCCCACCAGUGGAUUUUGGGUCAGUCUCAGUAAAAGAUGCCUUUUGGGGAGAUGCCUCCCGAAGCACUUGGACAACAAGUCUCUUCUCUGGUCCUCUCCAGGACUCAUUCUUCCUUAUGUUCCUCCUUGUCCUGGGAGGUGGGUCCUUUGCUUCCUGGCUUCCAGCUGGUCUAGCGGUGAGAUGACUGCAGGAGACCCGGGCAGGUCAGGACGUUUGUUCCCCUGGUGCUCUCUUUGUGGGAUUCCUCAGGUUCUCUCUCUGAUGGAAGGUCAGAGCACCUCCCAAGGGGGCCCUCUCCUCACGGUUCCGAGUUCUGCUAAGCACUCCCUUCCUCAACCCUAGCUCCGUGAGAAGAGCUUCCCCUGUGCACUGCUGCCUUCCUCAGUCUGGGUCGUAGAAUGAACCUAUGUGGAGCAGCCCAGACCUUUAUCUGCAGAGGAGGGAAUCCCAGCAGGACACCAGCUUGAGGCAGAGCUCCCAGCUGAGCCAGCUGACCUCCAGUGAACCCACAGCCUGGGAGAAGCACAUGCUUAUUGCUGCAUUUCACCGAGAUUGUGUGAUAAAGGGUAGCAACACCCUACAGCUACUAGCACCAGGGUUCUGCACUUACCCCACAAAUACUCCCUUUAUUAAGCCCUUGGGGAGCCACCCUAAUUUGAGUGUCAUCUGUUUCCUGUAGUGACACCAAGUGAAUGACAUAGGCACCAGCCUAGCUCUUUCCUAACAUUAUAUCAUGUUGCCAGCAAAGCUCAAAAUAUGACAUUUGAUACCAGCAGCCCGUCUUCUGUUUCCCGUUUGCUACUCAAUAUUCUCCUGAAAGCCUGUUCUUAGAAGCUAAUAAUGACAUUUAAUUCUUUUUAUGUAUUAUUAAAAUUUUCAGCCUUUUAUUUGGAAAAAUUUUGGAACAUAUAGACAAGUAGAGAUAUUAUCAAGAACCUCCAGGUACUCAUGACCCACUUUUAACAAUGAUUGACACUUUGUCAAUCUUAUUUAAUCUCUUCCUCUCCUGUUUAUUUUCUAAACCUAAUGACCUUUCAGUUUCAAGAGGGAAUCAUAGCUCUAAUCUUCCUUUCUUUUAAACGUUAAUCUUUAUUGGAGUAUAGCUGCUCUUCAAUGUUGUGUCAGUUUCUACUGCACAGCAAAGUGCGUCAGUAAUACACAGACAUACAUUCACUCUUUUUCGGAUUUUCUUCCCAUUUAGGUCACCACAGGGCACUGAGUAGUUCUCUGAGCUCUACAGCAGGUUCUCAUUGAGGGAAGUUGCUCAGUUGUGUCCGACUCUCUUCGACCCCACGGACUGUAGCCUACCAGGCUCCUCCAUCCAUGGGAUUUUCCAGGACUUUGAUUCCUGCCCCCCAAGGCAGGAAUGGUGUGCUACUCAUCUCUUUAAGUAUCUCCAGUGCCUGGCAUACAGGAAAUGCCUCAUAAGAAGAUCUGACCAGUCGAUCCUAAAGGAAAUCAGUCCUGAAUAUUCACUGGAAGAACUGAUGCCGAAGCUGAAACUCCUAUACUUUGGCCACCUGAUCCCAAGAACUGACUCAAUGGAAAAGACCCUGAUGCUGGGAAAGACUGAAGGCUGGAGGAGAAGGGGAUGACAGAGGAUGAGAUGGUUGGAUGGCAUCACCGACUCAAUGGACAUGGGUUUGGGUGGACUCCGGGAGCUGGUGACGGACAGGGAAGCCUGGUAUGCUGCAGUCCAUGCGGUCGCAAAGGGUCAGACACUACUGAGCAACUGAACUGAACUGAACUGAAUAUAUCCAAUUCCAAAUAUAGAUACAGUUUAAAGAAUGACAAGGAAAUAAACACAGUCACUACCUAGUUUGAAAUAGAAGAUUAGUCAUUUGAAGCACUAUGAGUCGUCUUUUUUUUUUUUUUUUUUUCAGGUGCAUCCCUUCCCUACCAUAUGGAAAAUUUAAAAUAUGCAGAACAAUACUAUAUGUUUUUAUGUAAAAGUAUAAAAACAUACGUAUAAUGAUAAAUACCAACUGAAGAUAGCAGUUAUCUCCGGAAGGAAAGAGAAUGGAAUUAGAUAGGGAUAUGAGGGUUUCUAACCGAUCUGUAAUGUUUCAUUAAAAAAAAAUGAUGUCAAGCAAAUGGGGCAAAAUGUAAAGAUCUGGCUGUGUUUGCUACAUUAUUCUCAGAGAGCAUAAAGCCAAAAUAGCACAAGGGGUUGAGUACACAAGUUCUGGAACCAAAUAGGUUUAGAUUUAUUUGUGCCUGCUUAAGUUACUAUCUGUAGAAGUUGUACAAAUGACUUAGCCUCCUUGCAACUCAGUUUUUCUUAUCAAUAAAAUGGAGAUUAUAAUAAUACUUAUAUUUACUUUAUAGUAUUGUUGUGAGCAUGACAUUAGUUUACGGAAAACACUGAAAGUGUUUGGCACAUAUGAGCAGGCAAUAAAUGUUAAUUAGCAGCAGUAGGAAGUUUUACAAGUUUUAUAAACUUCUCUUAAGAAACUGCAAACACACACACACACAC